RNAcentral lists this ribosomal RNA (468 nucleotides) under uncultured bacterium. RNAcentral's name for it is "partial 16S ribosomal RNA". It matches the Rfam family "Bacterial small subunit ribosomal RNA", at positions 28 to 507 of the family's 1533-position model. The record is from RNAcentral.
GACGAACGCUGGCGGCGUGCUUAAUACAUGCAAGUCGAACGGACAGGCCCUGCUUUUGUGGGGUGCUCGAGUGGCGAACGCGUGAGUAACACGUGAGUAACAUGCCCUUGACUUUGUGAUAUCUUUAGGAAACUCGGGAUAUUAUCGGAUAUGAGCUCUUGCUCCGCGUUGUGGGUUGGAAAGUUUCGGUUGUUGGGGAUGGAAUCGCGGCUUAUCCGCCUGUUGGUGGGGUAGUGGCUUACCAAGGCUUUGACGGGUAGCCGGCCUGAGAGGGGGACCGGCCACAUUGGGACUGAGAUACGGCCCAGACUCCUACGGGAGGCAGCAGUGGGGAAUAUUGCACAAUGGGCGGAAGCCUGAUGCAGCAACGCCGCGUGCGGGAUGACGGCCUUCGGGUUGUAAACCGCUUUCGCCUGUGACGAAGCGGGAGUGACGGUAAUGGGUAAAGAAGCACCGGCUAACUACGUG